GCUGAAAGGGUAACGACGCGAAUUAAAGGAAAGAGAAAAACAAAAAAUCAAAAGAAAGAUCAAAAAGCUAGUACAUACCUUGCUCGGGGGCAGCACUCUUCUGGGAGCUUGGAGCUCCCUGAGCGCCUCCCGGAGCACCGAUGGUCGUCGGGUGGAUCCCCGUCUCCCCAACGGUUGGCGUAGGGGCUUCAACGGUGGUCUCGGCCCACGGCUCCUCUGCCGAGCCUUCCACCUCCGCCCCAGGCGUUAGGUGGGGCUCAGUUGGGCCCCCCCGGCGCCACCGGCUGUGGGGGCAUCUCGGAUCCGCCGCCCGGCGCCCUUUCCCCCUCUUGGGGACCCUG
Molecule: long non-coding RNA, 341 nt
Filed under: Sorghum bicolor (sorghum)
Lineage: Eukaryota; Viridiplantae; Streptophyta; Magnoliopsida; Poales; Poaceae
Description: long non-coding RNA (SBIC_LNC015886)
Source: RNAcentral